UAGGGAAUCUUCCGCAAUGGGCGAAAGCCUGACGGAGCAACGCCGCGUGAGUGAUGAAGGUCUUCGGAUCGUAAAACUCUGUUAUUAGGGAAGAAUAAAUGUGUAAGUAACUAUGCACGUCUUGACGGUACCUAAUCAGAAAGCCACGGCUAACUACGUGCCAGCAGCCGCGGUAAUACGUAGGUGGCAAGCGUUGUCCGGAUUUAUUGGGCGUAAAGCGAGCGCAGGCGGUCAAUUAAGUCUGAUGUGAAAGCCCCCGGCUCAACCGGGGAGGGUCAUUGGAAACUGGUUGACUUGAGUGCAGAAGAGGAGAGUGGAAUUCCAUGUGUAGCGGUGAAAUGCGUAGAUAUAUGGAGGAACACCAGUGGCGAAGGCGACUCUCUGGUCUGUAACUGACGCUGAGGUUCGAAAGCGUGGGUAGCAAACAGG
RNAcentral lists this ribosomal RNA (429 nucleotides) under Bacteroidota bacterium. Its description in RNAcentral is "Bacteroidetes bacterium partial 16S ribosomal RNA". It matches the Rfam family "Bacterial small subunit ribosomal RNA", at positions 355 to 776 of the family's 1533-position model. Lineage: Bacteria; Pseudomonadati; Bacteroidota. The record is from RNAcentral.